This 72-nucleotide transfer RNA is filed under the name Marmota monax (woodchuck). It matches the Rfam family "tRNA". From Rfam's summary of the family: Transfer RNA (tRNA) molecules are approximately 80 nucleotides in length. Their secondary structure includes four short double-helical elements and three loops (D, anti-codon, and T loops). The record is from Rfam by way of RNAcentral. Lineage: Eukaryota; Metazoa; Chordata; Mammalia; Rodentia; Sciuridae.
UGAGGUUUGGCUUAGUGGUAAAGAGCUCGUCUAGCACAUGUGAGGCACUGGGUUCGAUCCUCAGCACCACAU